GACGAACGCUGGCGGCGUGCUUAACACAUGCCAGUCGAACGGAAAGGCCCUGCUUUUGUGGGGUGCUCGAGUGGCGAACGGGUGAGUAACACGUGAGUAACCUGCCCUUGACUUUGGGAUAACUUCAGGAAACUGGGGCUAAUACCGGAUAGGAGCUCCUGCUGCAUGGUGGGGGUUGGAAAGUUUCGGCGGUUGGGGAUGGACUCGCGGCUUAUCAGCUUGUUGGUGGGGUAGUGGCUUACCAAGGCUUUGACGGGUAGCCGGCCUGAGAGGGUGACCGGCCACAUUGGGACUGAGAGACGGCCAGACUCCUACGGGAGGCAGCAGUGGGGAAUAUUGCACAAUGGGCGGAAGCCUGAUGCAGCAACGCCGCGUGCGGGAUGACGGCCUUCGGGUUGUAAACCGCUUUCGCCUGUGACGAAGCGUGAGAGACGGUAAUGGGUAAAGAAGCACCGGCUAACUACGUG
Molecule: ribosomal RNA, 467 nt
Filed under: uncultured bacterium
Lineage: Bacteria
Description: partial 16S ribosomal RNA
Rfam family: Bacterial small subunit ribosomal RNA
Source: RNAcentral